UGUGGUAGGCUGAAAUCUUAGGUAAAUCCGGGGUUUCAAGGCCGAGGGCUGAUGACGAGUCGUCUUUUAGAUGACGAAGUGGUUGAUGCCAUGCUUCCAAGAAAAGCUUCUAAGCUUCAGGUAACCAGGAACCGUACCCCAAACCGACACAGGUGGUCGGGUAGAGAAUACCAAGGCGCUUGAGAGAACUCGGGUGAAGGAACUAGGCAAAAUGGCACCGUAACUUCGGGAGAAGGUGCGCCGGCUAGGGUGAAGGAUUUACUCCGUAAGCUCUGGCUGGUCGAAGAUACCAGGCCGCUGCGACUGUUUAUUAAAAACACAGCACUCUGCAAACACGAAAGUGGACGUAUAGGGUGUGACGCCUGCCCGGUGCCGGAAGGUUAAUUGAUGGGGUUAGCGCAAGCGAAGCUCUUGAUCGAAGCCCCGGUAAACGGCGGCCGUAACAAUAACGGUCCUAAGGUAGCGAAAUUCCUUGUCGGGUAAGUUCCGACCUGCACGAAUGGCGUAACGAUGGCGGCGCUGUCUCCACCCGAGACUCAGUGAAAUUGAAAUCGCUGUGAAGAUGCAGUGUAUCCGCGGCUAGACGGAAAGACCCCGUGAACCUCUACUGUAGCUUUGCAAUGGACUUUGAGCCUGCUUGUGUAGGAUAGGUGGGAGGCUUUGAAGCGUGGACGCCAGUUCGCGUGGAGCCAUCCUUGAAAUACCACCCUGGCAUGCUUGAGGUUCUAACUCUGGUCCGUAAUCCGGAUCGAGGACAGUGUAUGGUGGGCAGUUUGACUGGGGCGGUCUCCUCCUAAAGAGUAACGGAGGAGUACGAAGGUGCGCUCAGACCGGUCGGAAAUCGGUCGCAGAGUAUAAAGGCAAAAGCGCGCUUGACUGCGAGACAGACACGUCGAGCAGGUACGAAAGUAGGUCUUAGUGAUCCGGUGGUUCUGUAUGGAAGGGCCAUCGCUCAACGGAUAAAAGGUACUCCGGGAUAACAGGCUGAUACCGCCCAAGAGUUCAUAUCGACGGCGGUGUUUGGCACCUCGAUGUCGGCUCAUCACAUCCUGGGGCUGAAGCCGGUCCCAAGGGUAUGGCUGUUCGCCAUUUAAAGUGGUACGCGAGCUGGGUUUAGAACGUCGUGAGACAGUUCGGUCCCUAUCUGCCGUGGACGUUUGAGAUUUGAGAGGGGCUGCUCCUAGUACGAGAGGACCGGAGUGGACGAACCUCUGGUGUUCCGGUUGUCACGCCAGUGGCAUUGCCGGGUAGCUAUGUUCGGAAAAGAUAACCGCUGAAAGCAUCUAAGCGGGAAACUUGCCUCAAGAUGAGAUCUCACUGGGAACUUGAUUCCCCUGAAGGGCCGUCGAAGACUACGACGUUGAUAGGCUGGGCGUGUAAGCGUUGUGAGGCGUUGAGCUAACCAGUACUAAUUGCCCGUGAGGC
Molecule: ribosomal RNA, 1425 nt
Filed under: metagenome
Description: bacterial LSU rRNA
Rfam family: Bacterial large subunit ribosomal RNA
Source: RNAcentral